GGCAGAGGCACCCCAAGCUAAGGAAGGAGGAACUGGAAGUCAGAGAGGACAUGGUCCACGGUGGCUUCCUUGAGCAACUGCACCAGUCCUCAAACUGUCUGCACCAGACUUUUUGUUACACUCAAAAACCAGAUUCCUUUUGGGUUAUGCUACUGUGGUUUGGUUUUUGUCUCAUCCAAGCUUAGUCCUAACUGGUAUGGAAACCCUCUUGAUGUUCCUAAAAUCGCUUCACAUUGGCACCUUGUGGGCAACAGGCUUGGUUCUUAAAAUAUUGUCAACCUAGGAAUGACUGUGGAGGUACCCCCUUUUUUAAAUUCUCGAUUUGAAUUCGUCUGAAUCUUGAAUCUUUUGCCUUUCAUUUAAAAUAGACAUCCCCUCUUCCCCAAGUGAAUCUCAAAGAAAAGAGAAAAUGCGUUGCCAGUGUUUGAGAGCUAGACCCCUUCCUCCCUCAUUAAAUCCCCAGUUGGGAAUGUAAAAGCACCAUCUGCAUUUCAGUACCUGCUGGGCAGAAGAUGUGCAUUCCGAGCAGAGAAUCCAUUUGCUUUUAUGAGAGAGGUUUUUUUUUUUCUCCUUCCUGUGAAAGUCCUAUUAUAAAAACAAUUAGUCUCCUUGAAGGAUUUUGUUCUGCAAAAGAACUAAUUCUCUGCACAGCUGCUCAUCCUUAGAAACGGCCUAAGUACCAGAGGGAGGGGCUCCUGCCACUUCCACGGAAUCUGCUUCCAAAGCCAACACCAGCUCUCUGCCAAAGCAGAAGCCCUUGGGUCCCCCUACACCUCCAGAGUGGGAAGAGCUGUCAGCCACCAUGUGUUAAUCUGCCCUCCCUGCCAGGCCAUUUGGAGGACCCUCAGGAGCCUGGGGAGGCAGGAGACAACAAGGCUUUUAACCCAUCAGCGCUGCUCUGUGGUCAAGAGGUCACAGUGGCUCAAAUCCAAAGGUGAGAAAGGGCUCAAGGAUCAUGUUGGGAAACAAUUCUUUGGGACCCCCAAUACUUCAUAGUGUGUUCAGCAACAGCAGCUCUUGAAAAAAAAAGGCCCUUUUCAACAUCUUCAGUUUCGUUGAGGUAUGCAGUUUGAUUGAGGAGGUUCAAUUUAGGAAGAUAGACAUGAAACAGAUUAUUCUUCCACUAUGCCAUCAUGCUUUGCCACGUUCAACUUUGUUGCUGGGUACCAGGCUUCCUUAAGAAGACUUCAGUCCCAUUUAAUAGCUUUUCAAUAAUUUUCUGUUAUUUAGAUAGUAAAUAACUGUCUGGGCACACUGGCUCAUUUCUGUAAUCCCAACAAUUUAGGAGGCCAAGGUGGGAGGGCCACUUGAGCCCAAGAAUUCAUGACCAGUCUGGGCAAAAGAGAAAGAUCCUGUGUCUCUACAAAAAAGAAUACUAGAAAUAAAAAGAAUUAGUUGGGUGUGGUGGGAUAUGCCUGUAGUCCAAGCUACUCAGGAGGCUGAGGCAGGAGGAUCACUUGAGGUCAGGAGGUUGAGGCUGUAGGGAGCUGUGAUUGUACAACUGCACUCCAACCUGGGCAAUGCAGUGAGACCCUAUCUCAAAAAAAAAAAAAAAAAACAAAAAAAAA
This 1568-nucleotide long non-coding RNA is filed under the name Macaca fascicularis (crab-eating macaque). RNAcentral's name for it is "lncRNA (ENSMFAG00000057037.1)". Lineage: Eukaryota; Metazoa; Chordata; Mammalia; Primates; Cercopithecidae. The record is from RNAcentral.